GUCAAAUUAGCUAGCCCGUGAUGGCGAGCUAUUUACUCAGAAUAUUGCAAAAUGUGCUUUUGCUGAAAAGCUAUUUUAAAAUCUGACACCGCGAUUGCAUAUAGGAGUUCUGUAUCUAUAAUUCUUAAAAUAAUUGUUAUGUUUUUUGUGAACGUUUAUCGUGAGUAAUUUAGUAAAUUCACCGGAAGUUUUCGGUAUGUUUGCUAGUUCUGAACAUCACAUGCUAAUGUAAAAAGCUGGUUUUUGAUAUAAAUAUGAACUUGAUUGAACAAAACAUGCAUGUAUUGUAUAACAUAAUGUCCUAGGAGUGUCAUCUGAUGAAGAUCAUCAAAGGUUAAUGCUGCAUUUAGCUGUGGUUUUGGUUUUUGUGACAUUAUAUGCUAGCUUGAAAAAUGGGUGUCUGGCUAGGUACUCUGCUGACAUAAUCUAAUGUUUUGCUUUCGUUGUAAACCCUUUUUGAAAUCGGAUAAUGUGGUUAGAUUAACGAGAGUCUUGUCUUUAAAAUGGUGUAAAAUAGUCAUAUGUUUGAGAAAUUGAAGUAAUAGCAUUUCUAAGGUAUUUGAAUAUCGCGCCACUCGAUUUCACUGGCUGUUGACUAGGUGGGACGAUUUCGUCCCACAUACCCUAGAGAGGUUAACCAGGGACUGAUUUAGACCUGGGACGUCAUGUCAUUAUUCCCUUCUAAUCAGGGGCUGAUUUAGACCCGGGACAUCAGGUCAUUAUUCCCCUUUAACCAGGGACUGAUUUAGACCUGGGACAUCAGGUCGUUAUUCCCCUUUAACCAGGGGCUGAUUUAGACCUGGGACAUCAGGUCAUUGUUCUCCCCUAAUCAGGGACUGAUUUUAGACCUGGGACAUCAGGUCAUUAUUCCCCUUUAACCAGGGACUGGUUUAGACUUGGGACAUCAGGUCAUUAUUCCCCUCUAAUCAGGGACUGAUUUAGACCUGGGACAUCAGGUCAUUGUUCCCCUUUAACCAUGGACUGAUUUAGACCUGGGACAUCAGGUCAUUAUUCCCCUUUAACCAGGGACUGGUUUAGACUUGGGACAUCAGGUCAUUAUUCCCCUCUAAUCAGGGACUGAUUUAGACCUGGGACAUCAGGUCAUUGUUCCCCUCUAAACUGAUUUAGACCUGGGACAUCAGGUCAUUAUUCCCCUUUAACCAUGGACUGAUUUAGACCUGGGACAUCAGGUCAUUAUUCCCCUUUAACCAUGGACUGAUUUAGACCUGGGACAUCAGGUCAUUAUUCCCCUUUAACCAGGGACUGAUUUAGACCUGGGACGUCAUGUCAUUAUUCCCCUCUAAUCAGGGGCUGAUUUAGACCAGAGGUGUGUGUGUGUGUGUGUGUGUGUGUGUGUGUGUGUAACAGAGUCUGUCAGAGGAGUGUGUGUGUGUGUGUGUGUGUAACAGAGUCUGUCAGAGGAGUGUGUGUGUGACAGAGUCUGUCAGAGGAGUGUGUGUGUGUAACAGAGUCUGUCAGAGGUGAGUGUGUGUGUGUAACAGAGUCUGUCAGAGGAGUGUGUGUGUGUGUGUGUGUGUGUGUGUGUGUGUGAGUGUGUGUGUGUGCCCUUCUACUUGACAGUGAAAAUGCAAUGCUUCUUUCAGUCCGAGUAUGAAAGCCAUCCUGUUUUCUUGAACACCUUGUUUGUUUAAGGCCAAGAAAACUACAGGGAAACACUCAGGGUGGCAUUCAUACUCAGACUGAAAGAAGCAUUUUAUUUUCACUUUUAUUUAACAUCGAUACUAACAUAACAGGUUAUAAUACACUAGGUAUGCAUGCACACAAACAUCUCAGCACUCCCUUCAGCAACUUGCCCAAGCCCCCCCACCCCGCUUCUCCUUCACCCAAAUCCAGACAGACCUGGCUACCCCAACCCCAGUCAGCAGCUCUGCACCCCCCACAGCAACUUGCCCAAGCCCCCCAUUUCUCCUUCACCCAAAUCCAGAUAGCUGAUGUUCUGAAAGAGCUGCAAAAUCUGGACCCAUACAAAUCAGCCGGGCUAGACAAUCUGGAACCUCUCUUUCUAAAAUUAUCUGCCGAAAUUGUUGUAACUCCUAUUACUAGCCUGUUCAACUUCUCUUUCGUAUCGUCUGAGAUUCCCAAAGAUUGGAAAGCUGCCGCGGUCAAACUGCUACAGACCUAUAUCUAUCCUACCCUGCCUUUCUAAAGUCUUCGAAAGCCAAGUUAACAAACAGAUCACCGACCAUUUCGAAUCCCACCGUACCUUCUCCGCUGUGAAAUCUGGUUUACGAGCUGGUCAUUGGUGCACCUCAGCCACGCUCAAGGUCCUAAACAAUAACAUAUCCACCAUCGAUAAAAGACAGUACUGUGCAGCCGUAUUCAUCGACCUGGCCAAGGCUUUCGACUCUGUCAAUCACCGCAUUCUAAUCGUCAUACUCAAUAGCCUUGGUUUCUCAAAUGACUGCCUCGCCUUGAUCACCAACUAUUUCUCUGAUAGAGUUCAGUGUGUCGAAUCGGAGGGCCUGUUAUCUGGACCUCUGGCAGUCUCUGGGUGGGUGCCACAGGGUUCAAUUCUCGGGCCAAGUCUCUUCUCUGUAUACA
RNAcentral lists this long non-coding RNA (2562 nucleotides) under Salmo salar (Atlantic salmon). RNAcentral's name for it is "lncRNA (ENSSSAG00000118658.1)". Lineage: Eukaryota; Metazoa; Chordata; Actinopteri; Salmoniformes; Salmonidae. The record is from RNAcentral.